RNAcentral lists this small RNA (162 nucleotides) under Sphenodon punctatus (tuatara). RNAcentral describes it as "TUC338 (ENSSPUG00000003940.1)". The record is from RNAcentral. Lineage: Eukaryota; Metazoa; Chordata; Lepidosauria; Sphenodontia; Sphenodontidae.
UUGACAGGCUCAAGGAAUGAAGUCAUCUAACUAUCUGUAGAACAAGUAGAAUGUCAAUACAAGUUUUCUUCCUAUUACCUCACUAAUGUGUCUGAACCCUGACCUGAAGGGGCCACUUCUUAGAGCAAUUCACUUUUUGUGUCCAUUAAAUCCUUAGCCUCU